AUGAAUCGGGCUAGUGCAGCUGGUGCCAAGGGAAAGAAGAAGGGUGCAACCUUCACCGUUGACUGUGCUAAGCCAGUUGAAGACAAGAUCAUGGACACUGCUUCCCUUGAGAAGUUUCUUCAAGAGAGGAUCAAGGUUGGUGGCAAAGUCGGUGCUCUUGGUGAUUCUGUUACUGUUACCAGGGAGAAAUCAAAGAUCACUGUUACUUUUGAUAGCAAUUUCUCCAAAAGGUAA
Molecule: non-coding RNA, 234 nt
Organism: Vicia faba (fava bean)
Lineage: Eukaryota; Viridiplantae; Streptophyta; Magnoliopsida; Fabales; Fabaceae
Source: the annotation of a GenBank genome assembly